This 426-nucleotide ribosomal RNA is filed under the name uncultured prokaryote. RNAcentral describes it as "bacterial SSU rRNA". It matches the Rfam family "Bacterial small subunit ribosomal RNA", at positions 355 to 796 of the family's 1533-position model. The record is from RNAcentral.
CAAGGAAUUUUCCGCAAUGGGCGCAAGCCUGACGGAGCAACGCCGCGUGGGGGAAGAAGGCUUUCGAGUUGUAAACCCCUUUUGCGAGGGAAGAAGAUCUGACGGUACCUCGCGAAUAAGCCACGGCUAACUACGUGCCAGCAGCCGCGGUAAUACGUAGGUGGCAAGCGUUGUCCGGAUUCACUGGGCGUAAAGCGCGCGCAGGCGGGCUGAUAAGUCCCGGGUUAAAUUCCACGGCUCAACCGUGGGCGGCCCCGGGAUACUGUCAGUCUUGAGGCAUUCAGAGGAGAGUGGAAUUCCCGGUGUAGUGGUGGAAUGCGUAGAUAUCGGGAGGAACACCAGUGGCGAAAGCGGCUCUCUGGGGAUGUCCUGACGCUGAGGCGCGAAAGCGUGGGGAGCGAACCGGAUUAGAUACCCCCGUAGUCC